This 784-nucleotide ribosomal RNA is filed under the name Bacillus sp. LSM1-61. RNAcentral describes it as "bacterial SSU rRNA". It matches the Rfam family "Bacterial small subunit ribosomal RNA", at positions 61 to 826 of the family's 1533-position model. The record is from RNAcentral. Lineage: Bacteria; Bacillati; Bacillota; Bacilli; Caryophanales; Bacillaceae.
GUCGAGCGGACAGAUGGGAGCUUGCUCCCUGAUGUUAGCGGCGGACGGGUGCAGGUACACGUGGGUAACCUGCCUGUAAGACUGGGAUAACUCCGGGAAACCGGGGCUAAUACCGGAUGGUUGUUUGAACCGCAUGGUUCAGACAUAAAAGGUGGCUUCGGCUACCACUUACAGAUGGACCCGCGGCGCAUUAGCUAGUUGGUGAGGUAACGGCUCACCAAGGCRACGAUGCGUAGCCGACCUGAGAGGGUGAUCGGCCACACUGGGACUGAGACACGGCCCAGACUCCUACGGGAGGCAGCAGUAGGGAAUCUUCCGCAAUGGACGAAAGUCUGACGGAGCAACGCCGCGUGAGUGAUGAAGGUUUUCGGAUCGUAAAGCUCUGUUGUUAGGGAAGAACAAGUGCCGUUCAAAUAGGGCGGCACCUUGACGGUACCUAACCAGAAAGCCACGGCUAACUACGUGCCAGCAGCCGCGGUAAUACGUAGGUGGCAAGCGUUGUCCGGAAUUAUUGGGCGUAAAGGGCUCGCAGGCGGUUUCUUAAGUCUGAUGUGAAAGCCCCCGGCUCAACCGGGGAGGGUCAUUGGAAACUGGGGAACUUGAGUGCAGAAGAGGAGAGUGGAAUUCCACGUGUAGCGGUGAAAUGCGUAGAGAUGUGGAGGAACACCAGUGGCGAAGGCGACUCUCUGGUCUGUAACUGACGCUGAGGAGCGAAAGCGUGGGGAGCGAACAGGAUUAGAUACCCUGGUAGUCCACGCCGUAAACGAUGAGUGCUAAGUGUUAG